GACGAACGCUGGCGGCGCGCUUAACACAUGCAAGUCGAACGGAAAGGCCUGCUUUCCCUUGUGGAUUGCGGGUACUCGAGUGGCGAACGGGUGAGUAACACGUGAGUGAUCUGCCCCCAACUUGGGUAUAAGCCUGGGAAACUGGGUCUAAUUCCCGAUAGGACUGCAGGGUGGUGCCUGUGGUGGAAAACGAUUUUCUAGUGGUUGGGGAUGAGCUCGCGGCCUAUCAGCUUGUUGGUGGGGUAAUGGCCUACCAAGGCGGCGACGGGUAGCCGACCUGAGAGGGUGGACGGCCACAUUGGGACUGAGAUACGGCCCAGACUCCUACGGGAGGCAGCAGUGGGGAAUAUUGCACAAUGGGCGGAAGCCUGAUGCAGCGACGCCGCGUGGGGGAUGACGGCCUUCGGGUUGUAAACUCCUUUCGACCGCGAGGAAGCCACCUGGUUGGAAGGGUGGUGACGGUAGUGGUAGAAGAAGCACCGGCUAACUACGUG
RNAcentral lists this ribosomal RNA (494 nucleotides) under uncultured bacterium. RNAcentral describes it as "partial 16S ribosomal RNA". It matches the Rfam family "Bacterial small subunit ribosomal RNA", at positions 28 to 507 of the family's 1533-position model. The record is from RNAcentral.